GAGAGCAUGGAAGAAGAGGAGACAGAAAAGAUGGUGUGAUGUAGUACAUUUAUGGUUUCAUUUUUGGCCAUCAUGGCAGGGGUGGAGGACAGGUCGGAUGGUGGCACAUUACCAUGCAUAGAAACCAGUCCACAUCUGGCUGCUGAUGCAGCAUCCUUGAAUUCCUCACCUCGCUGAAAAUGAGCCAUCUCUUCCAGUUCAGCUUGUUUUGAAACCAUGGAAAUCUUGUCCAUUAUUCUCUGUGUACUUCUUCCCACAGAGAUCUGGCAUGAUAUUGAUUCAGCAUCUGGAGGAGCUAAUACCAGUUUAUCAAGUCUGUAUCCAUCACCUAACGGUGCCUCCUCUACCUAAAGGAUUUCAUGAAACCCCAUUUCAAAAUCACUGCUUGAAAUGGUCAUGUUUCAAACCUCUGUAAAGAAACUGUAACUGUGGAAAAAUGAUGUCUUCACUGUCGUUUCCAUCUCAUGACCCAGAGACACCUGCUUAUGAAAGAAUAGGAGUCCUGAUCAUUCAGGGCCUCUCAAAACAAGUCAAUCUCACCAAAUGUCCAUGGAGGAUGUUUACCCUGAUUCUGUUGCAGUUUCUCAGGCCACACUUGUCAUUGCCUGCAUGUUCAUGAACAUCAAAAGCACCAGUGACUAGAACUGGAAAAUGGUUGUCAAUUGCUUCAAUAAAGUCCCAGAAGGAAGAGUGAAGCACUCUUUUAACCCCUAGGAACCAAAUGUUUAUUGGAAAGGGAGUCAAGAAAAUGGUAAGU
Long non-coding RNA from Myotis myotis, 757 nucleotides. RefSeq lists it as uncharacterized. The record is from RefSeq and is a predicted model, not a curated record. The transcript is spliced from 3 exons. NCBI's taxonomy places the organism in Eukaryota, Metazoa, Chordata, Mammalia, Chiroptera, Vespertilionidae.